Canis lupus familiaris (dog) is the source of this 556-nucleotide long non-coding RNA. RefSeq lists it as uncharacterized. NCBI's taxonomy places the organism in Eukaryota, Metazoa, Chordata, Mammalia, Carnivora, Canidae. The transcript has 5 exons. The record is from RefSeq and is a predicted model, not a curated record.
GUGCUAGAGCUAGGAAACCAGGCAAAGCAGAAGCUGGGAUGAACAGGUAUAGAGAGAACUAAAGAAAAAAAAAAAAUAAAAGAUUUGAAGAUUGGAUUGGUCAAAGGAAGUUUCAUCAAGAAAAUGGAAUUAGAUCUGAAUUUUUGAAAAAUAAGUAUGCUUUAAGAAGAAAAAAGAAGGGAACAGAUUCCCACUGAGAAUGGAGGAAGAACCUGUGUCCGUGGAUAUGUUAAAAUCAGCCUGAUGAUGAUAAACUCAUCGAAAGCUCAUCUCAUCACCUCAACUCGUCAGAGUGGCUAAAAUUCACAACACAAGAAUCAACAGGACCUUGACAACUUUUGAAGAUACAUAAUGAGGUGAAGGAUUUGGGGAAGCAUACCACAUAAGGGAUGUGCCCUUUUCACUGCAUGCUGACAGCAGAGAACUUUUGCAUAUGUGCUGCCGAAGCGAGCACUCUUAGAGACCUUUGGAAGCGUAUCCUGGGUUCGAAACGGGGCUGGCUCCACAGAUAAUGGUGCGUGUGGCGGUAAAAGUUGAAAGAGUAAUUCUAGAAAUG